Molecule: ribosomal RNA, 241 nt
Filed under: uncultured bacterium
Lineage: Bacteria
Description: partial 16S ribosomal RNA
Rfam family: Bacterial small subunit ribosomal RNA
Source: RNAcentral
AACGAACGCUGGCGGCGCGCUUAACACAUGCAAGUCGCACGGACGGUUUCGGCCGUCAGUGGCGCACGGGUGAGUAACGCGUGGGAACCUACCCUGGGGUCGUGGGACGAACCGCGGGAAACGUGCGGCUAAUACCGGAUACGUGCUGCGGCAGAAAGGAGUGAUCUGCCCUGGGAUGGGCCCGCGUCCGAUUAGCUAGUUGGUGGGGUAACGGCCCGACCAACGGCUGCGAUCGGUAGCC